This 504-nucleotide ribosomal RNA is filed under the name uncultured bacterium. RNAcentral describes it as "partial 16S ribosomal RNA". It matches the Rfam family "Bacterial small subunit ribosomal RNA", at positions 29 to 523 of the family's 1533-position model. The record is from RNAcentral.
AUUGAACGCUGGCGGCAGGCCUAACACAUGCAAGUCGAACGGUAGCACAGAGAGCUUGCUCUCGGGUGACGAGUGGCGGACGGGUGAGUAACGUCUGGGAAACUGCCCGAUGGAGGGGGAUAACUACUGGAAACGGUAGCUAAUACCGCAUAACGUCGCAGGACCAGAGUGGGGGACCUUCGGGCCUCACACCAUCGGAUGUGCCCAGAGGGGAUUAGCUAGUAGGUGGGGUAAUGGCUCACCUAGGCGACGAUCCCUAGCUGGUCUGAGAGGAUGACCAGCCACACUGGAACUGAGACACGGUCCAGACUCCUACGGGAGGCAGCAGUGGGGAAUAUUGCACAAUGGGCGCAAGCCUGAUGCAGCCAUGCCGCGUGUAUGAAGAAGGCCUUCGGGUUGUAAAGUACUUUCAGCGGAGAGGAAGGUGGUGAAGUUAAUAGCUUCACCGAUUGACGUUACCCGCAGAAGAAGCACCGGCUAACUCCGUGCCAGCAGCCGCCGCGG